CAAGUCGAACGGGGAAUUACUUUAUUGAAACUUCGCGUCGAUUUAAUUUAAUUCUAGUGGCGGACGGGUGAGUAACGCGUGGGAAACCUGCCUUGUACAGGGGGAUAAAAGUCCGAAAUGACUGCUAAUACCGCAUAAGCGCACAGGAACCGCAUGGUCC
This 160-nucleotide ribosomal RNA is filed under the name uncultured bacterium. RNAcentral describes it as "partial 16S ribosomal RNA". It matches the Rfam family "Bacterial small subunit ribosomal RNA", at positions 58 to 196 of the family's 1533-position model. The record is from RNAcentral.